CCUACGGGUGGCUGCAGUAAGGAAUAUUGGUCAAUGGAGGCAACUCUGAACCAGCCAUGCCGCGUGAAGGAUUAAGGCCCUCUGGGUCGUAAACUUCUUUUAUGUGGGAAGAAAUGUACUUUUUUGAAAGUACUUGACGGUACCAUAGGAAUAAGCACCGGCUAACUCCGUGCCAGCAGCCGCGGUAAUACGGAGGGUGCAAGCGUUAUCCGGAUUUACUGGGUUUAAAGGGUGCGUAGGCGGAUGUGUAAGUCAGUGGUGAAAUCUUCGAGCUU
RNAcentral lists this ribosomal RNA (275 nucleotides) under uncultured bacterium. RNAcentral's name for it is "partial 16S ribosomal RNA". It matches the Rfam family "Bacterial small subunit ribosomal RNA", at positions 338 to 610 of the family's 1533-position model. The record is from RNAcentral.